UCGGUUUCUAGGGAAAGGCUGCAUGUGUGGUGGGUCACAAAGUGAGGAGCCCAAUACAGGAGGAGGAGGUUAGACAGAAGAUGAAGGACCCAGUUUAGUCUAACUUCAUAGUCAAGAGCCAUGGUUAAAGGUGGGCCGGCUCCCUGGGGCCCCGGAUGAUGUCCCCUCUACGAGAAGCUCCCACUGCACCCACCCAGUGCAGACCUCCAACCUGCCAGCCUGCAGGAGCCGUUUACAGUGAAGCCUGAACUUCCACCUGCCAGAGUAAGCAAGUGAUGUUGAAGGUGUCCCCCUGACGGACUGAGGUUUCCUUCAGGCUUUGGAGUCUUACUCACCUAGAACCACCUCUGAGCCGAUGG
Molecule: long non-coding RNA, 359 nt
Organism: Sciurus carolinensis (gray squirrel)
Lineage: Eukaryota; Metazoa; Chordata; Mammalia; Rodentia; Sciuridae
Exons: 3
Source: RefSeq, a predicted model, not a curated record